GGGGGUAUAGCUCAAUGGUAGGCAUUCGACUGCAGAUCGAGAGGUUCCCUGUUCGAACCCGGGUGCCUUCU
Molecule: transfer RNA, 71 nt
Filed under: Trichonephila inaurata madagascariensis
Lineage: Eukaryota; Metazoa; Arthropoda; Arachnida; Araneae; Nephilidae
Rfam family: tRNA
About the family: Transfer RNA (tRNA) molecules are approximately 80 nucleotides in length. Their secondary structure includes four short double-helical elements and three loops (D, anti-codon, and T loops). Further hydrogen bonds mediate the characteristic L-shaped molecular structure. tRNAs have two regions of fundamental functional importance: the anti-codon, which is responsible for specific mRNA codon recognition, and the 3' end, to which the tRNAs corresponding amino acid is attached (by aminoacyl-tRNA synthetases). tRNAs cope with the degeneracy of the genetic code in two manners: having more than one tRNA (with a specific anti-codon) for a particular amino acid; and 'wobble' base-pairing, i.e. permitting non-standard base-pairing at the 3rd anti-codon position.
Source: Rfam by way of RNAcentral